Molecule: ribosomal RNA, 468 nt
Filed under: uncultured bacterium
Lineage: Bacteria
Description: partial 16S ribosomal RNA
Rfam family: Bacterial small subunit ribosomal RNA
Source: RNAcentral
GACGAACGCUGGCGGCGUGCUUAACACAUGCAAGUCGAACGGAAAGGCCCUGCUUUUGUGGGGUGCUCGAGUGGCGAACGGGUGAGUAACACGUGAGUAACCUGCCCUUGACUUUGGGAUAACUUCAGGAAACUGGGGCUAAUACCGGAUAGGAGCUCCUGCUGCAUGGUGGGGGUUGGAAAGUUUCGGCGGUUGGGGAUGGACUCGCGGCUUAUCAGCUUGUUGGUGGGGUAGUGGCUUACCAAGGCUUUGACGGGUAGCCGGCCUGAGAGGGUGACCUGCCACAUUGGGACUGAGAUACGGCCCAGACUCCUACGGGAGGCAGCAGUGGGGAAUAUUGCACAAUGGGCGGAAGCCUGAUGCAGCAACGCCGCGUGCGGGAUGAAGGCCUUCGGGUUGUAAACCGCUUUCGCCUGUGACGAAGCGUGAGUGACGGUAAUGGGUAAAGAAGCACCGGCUAACUACGUG